Molecule: ribosomal RNA, 441 nt
Filed under: uncultured bacterium
Lineage: Bacteria
Description: bacterial SSU rRNA
Rfam family: Bacterial small subunit ribosomal RNA
Source: RNAcentral
UUAACGCGAAGAACCUUACCAAGGCUUGACAUGCACGGGAAGCCACCAGAGAUGGUGGUCUCUUUGGACACUCGUGCACAGGUGGUGCAUGGUUGUCGUCAGCUCGUGUCGUGAGAUGUUGGGUUAAGUCCCGCAACGAGCGCAACCCUCGUCCCAUGUUGCCAGCGGGUUAUGCCGGGGACUCAUGGGAGACUGCCGGGGUCAACUCGGAGGAAGGUGGGGAUGACGUCAAAUCAUCAUGCCCCUUAUGUCUUGGGCUUCACGCAUGCUACAAUGGCCGGUACAGAGGGCUGCGAUACCGUAAGGUGGAGCGAAUCCCAAAAAGCCGGUCUCAGUUCGGAUUGGGGUCUGCAACUCGACCCCAUGAAGUCGGAGUCGCUAGUAAUCGCAGAUCAGCAACGCUGCGGUGAAUACGUUCCCGGGCCUUGUACACACCGAAUC